Molecule: long non-coding RNA, 818 nt
Filed under: Salvia miltiorrhiza (redroot sage)
Lineage: Eukaryota; Viridiplantae; Streptophyta; Magnoliopsida; Lamiales; Lamiaceae
Description: long non-coding RNA (SMIL_LNC001715)
Source: RNAcentral
UCAAGUCUUAGCCAGUCUCGUGCAAUCAAUCAAGAGCUUGGACUGCGUCGGCGGUCAGGCAGUCCCUCGACGGGCGGAGUAGUCGAGGCGCAGACUGGCGCUGCCUAUUCGCCGCGACACUAAAGCGAUGGUGGUAGAGAUGCGGAGGUUGGCGCGGGCGGAGACGGCCUGGGGCGCGACGGAGUGGAGAAGUCUGAAACAGGGGUGAGGGAUGCCGCCUGUGGUGAUGACUGAAGCGGUGCCCCGGAGGCUGAGGUGGACGCGGAGGCGGCGGGAAUCCAAAGGCACAAACAAAUUUGAGUGAACAAGAUGCUGAAUCCAUUCAAUUGACGCACAAUUUGGAAUUAAAUUAAAAUCAAGACUGAUUUUGACAGCAGGGAGAAGGAUUAAAAUUCAGAAAAUUAUAAAACACAAAUUAACAAAAACUAAAGAAGAAGAAACCUAUUGGCUGCUGCUGCCGAACGGAGGAGGUGGCGAGGGCUUCGGGUGAGUGCAGGAGGAGCGGCGAGAUCGGGCGGAGGCACGGCGGAACGAGAGCAGGCGACUGGAGUUAGGGCUCCCAAUGUCUUCUUCGACUGGAGGAGAGACGCGGUGGGUAGGCGCGGCGAGGCGAGGGCUGCCGGCGACUGGAGAUAGAGCUCCCAAUGUCUUCUUCGACUGGAGGCGGAGGUUGAGGUUCAGGGGGUGCAGCGGCGCUAGGGCGGAGCGGGUGCAAGGAGGAGGCUAGGUCAAAGUGGUGUGGAGGUAAACAUAGGAAAAAAUAUCUGAUUCAAAACUUGAAUAAUAGACGACAAGAGGAGGAUGUCGUCUAUUAUAGA